RNAcentral lists this ribosomal RNA (454 nucleotides) under uncultured organism. RNAcentral describes it as "partial 16S ribosomal RNA". It matches the Rfam family "Bacterial small subunit ribosomal RNA", at positions 330 to 800 of the family's 1533-position model. The record is from RNAcentral.
CGUACACUCCUACGGGAGGCAGCAGUGGGGAAUCUUGCGCAAUGGGCGAAAGCCUGACGCAGCCAUGCCGCGUGAAUGAUGAAGGUCUUAGGAUUGUAAAAUUCUUUCACCGGGGACGAUAAUGACGGUACCCGGAGAAGAAGCCCCGGCUAACUUCGUGCCAGCAGCCGCGGUAAUACGAAGGGGGCUAGCGUUGCUCGGAAUUACUGGGCGUAAAGGGAGCGUAGGCGGACAUUUAAGUCAGGGGUGAAAUCCCGGGGCUCAACCUCGGAAUUGCCUUUGAUACUGGGUGUCUUGAGUAUGAGAGAGGUGUGUGGAACUCCGGGUGUAGAGGUGAAAUUCGUAGAUAUUCGGAAGAACACCAGUGGCGAAGGCGACACACUGGCUCAUUACUGACGCUGAGGCUCGAAAGCGUGGGGAGCAAACAGGAUUAGAAACCCCAGUAGUCCCAUGA